RNAcentral lists this non-coding RNA (27 nucleotides) under Mus musculus (house mouse). The record is from RNAcentral. Lineage: Eukaryota; Metazoa; Chordata; Mammalia; Rodentia; Muridae.
UGGUCACACAUUGUCCAGACUGUCCGC